AGUGACCAGCCCUACCUUUGUAAACGUCCGCACUGAUCAAGAAAUCAAGAAAAGGGUUCUUUCUCACAAUUGCUAUUGGUUUUGGGAGCCCCAGAAAAGUUUGCAACCUCUGUGUUCAAGAACACCGCCAACAACAGAAGCAGAGGCAAAGGCGAGAAAUAAUAAAGCGAGGUGGCGGAUAACCUCUCGAAGGAAGAUCCCCGCAUAAAUCAUCAUUAGACAGAGACGGCCAUUUCAGAGUGGCAUCCAUUAGCAAAUCAAUCCUCAUCAUCCUAAUCAUCUCGGUGCCAAGAUUGCUGCUCAUCAAGGAUCUGAGAGGCCUUUUGCGUGUGUUCCUGUUUUGAUGACUACCCUAUAAAAGAUGUCUUUUGGCGCUAAGUGUUCCCAACUCAUCGGGUGGGCAUGAGAAUUGCGAAGGGGACUUGGCAGCCCAGUGCCCUCGGGUAGCACGACCUGGUGGAUAAAGUGGAAACAAAAAAGCAAAAAGGACAGGAUCUCAUGCACCAAGGAAACGAUGGACCCUCCUUAUGAAAGGAAGAUGUGGAAAAGUGUCAUCUAAUCUACCAAGAAAGCCCUGCAUCAUCCUCCAUCUGGAGAGAAAGAGCACAGAGGUGGUGAAACCUUUCACUGAAGAAACCUGUACAAAAGCACUCUCUCGUCAGAAAAUAAAGACAAAACUUAUAUGCAAAAUCCAAGCUCAUCAGUUAUCACUUGCAGUGUUACAAUUUCACUGCAGUUCACAAAAACAAAAACAAGACAUUACUUGAGAAAACAGCAUUUGGAGUUAACAGUUCUAAGACAAAAUUCUCGACCAAAGUAUCUACCCAUGUCUUUCCUCACAUUUGUUUUGUGACAAUGCAACCAAGUCCCUGGGAAAAAACGAAGGCAAAGAGAAACUAGGCGCUUGUGAGAUGACCUCAAGGACUGCUGCAGAUUUAACUCUUGAGCAGUCUAAAUACUGAUGCUGCAUCAAGGCAUACCAGCAUAGCGUCCUUCACAACCCCAGCUACAAGAUGUAGAUGGCUUGCCACAUUUUCUGCUAGGAGUACCAUCAACGGGUCUAUCCUGGAGACAAGGCUUCAAGUCCCCAGAUGAAUGCAUCAAGGACCUGUAAGAUCACAGAACCAGAAAGGACAGUGAAGACACAAGCAAGGUACUUGGCACCAUCACGGCCGACAUGACCCCAUUCCAAAUUGUGGCAGAUGAUAACUGUGCUGCUUAUCAACAGGGAAGAGUUUACAGAGUGUACCAAAUGAAUUCAAGACUGACCUACUGCACUGCCAAGAACUAGGGAAGCUUUGAUGCCUGGAGUUCAAAGACAAAUAUCAACUUGAUCCUGCAAGAUUUAAGAAGGCAGUUACAAGAUGAAAGGCAAAGAACUUUGCCUCGGUUGCUAUCAAGGCCUCUGUGAAGAGCAACGAGAAAGUGACGGAGCUGCCAGGAACGAGAGACCUGUUUGGAUGACUUACCUCAGCUCAAAGAACAACCCUGAUCCCAAAAUUUUCUCAUUUCCUUUGACACCUGUGCCUCUUUCUUUGGCCCACGUUGUUAGCAGCCUUAACAAGACAGAUAAGUCUGAACUUCUGCACAAGCUUGAGAUUGAAGUACACAGCACAGACCCUAAAAUUUCUGUUAAUGUCACCCUUGUUGAUGGCAUGUUUCUUUUGCAUGCACUUCAUAACUACCAGUCACCUUUGGAGAAGCGGCUUUGCUGAUUCUAUGGAUGCAUUGUGGAAUGUAUCCAUAGAUGACACUGCCUCUGCCUUCACAGGUCCUAGCCAGCAACGGCCAAAAGAAUGGCAAAAGGCCCUUAAAUUACCACAUUCAAAAGUGCAUUCAUAAAGUUUCUUGCUCAGGAAUGGGCUACCCAUGUAGAUCCUAACACACUUGCUGGCCACCAUGUGAAUCUAGCAGUAAAUAUGUGUGAUCAUUAUACAGUCCUGCAAGGCACAGCCUUUCGUGAGGAAGAGCUUAUCUGGUUUGCACACAAGAGAAAGCAGAUACCAGGAUUGUGUUUCAUCUGUCAAGCCUUCCUCACAAAUGACAACCCCACCGUUGCUGUGAGGUGUUCUGAUACCGAUAUGUUUGUACUCUGUUAUAUCACAUCUCAAAAAUGUGGGACAACCAUAAACCAUUGGUGCGGAUGGAUGUUGGUCUGGGUGCUAUAGCAACAUCUCCCAGCUGGUUCAACAUUUCGAUAGAGAAGUCCUGGAGGCCUUGCCUGCUCUCCAUGCCUACACAGCCAUCUUCACAAACAAGGGGAAGAUGAGACCAUUUAAGCUGAAGAAGAAGAAUCUACAAUCUUUCAGUGCCUUUGCCUCCCUCGGCAGUAGUGACGACACAGUUGACAACAAUUCAAUGACAGAUUGAGAAGUUCAAGUAGUGCAUGUAUUUGAUGCCAAAGCUCUCCAAAAUCAACUGAUGUCAAGUUGGCCCUGUUUGAGAAAAAGUAUGCACCUACUAGCAAGGCAACAGUCCAGCCUCAUGGCAAGAUGAAAGGUGUGAACCCAAGUUGUGUGGCUCCUUGUCAUUCUUCACUGGUCAACAAAGUGCAAAGGGCAAAAUACAUUGCCUACUUGUGGAUGCCUCAAAUAGAAAAUCCUUCAGACCUGAAUCCUGAAGAAUUUGGAUAGUUGCUGAAAGACAACCAGUAUGUCAUCAAGUGGUAUGAUGGUGACCAAUUGCCAUAGAGUAUUGCCAACAUUAUCAGCAAGGAUGAUGACAUUGGUACCACAGCACAUGGCAUGGAUGAGGAAUUCUUCCCCUGUUCCCAUGAUGAAGGUGGUGAUAGUGACAAUUGAUUUUGAAUUUAUCUAGUCUUGUUAUGAAAUAAUGGUUACCUGAAUUGCAGACACAGUGAUUUUAUCAAGCUUACAGUAAUUGGCUUUUUCUGUUUAACCUGAGUAAUAAUUUUAUUCAUGCUCAAUUUUGUAUAUCAGUCAAGCUAUAUAUUACCAAAAUUUUAAAGAUGAUAUGCAUUGGUAUCUAAGUCUUAAUGUUUACAUGUGUUUUUGUCUUUGCAAAGUCAAAAUGCAUGGAUGACAUCCCAUGUAAAUUAAAUUCUUUAAACUGAAAUAGCCAUCAUAAGUAUCUUUUAUAACUUAAUAAUGAUAAAUUAUCAAUCAAUCAUUGUAUAUUAUAGUAUUGGAUAGAUAAUAUAGUAUUGGGUAAAAUCUUAAGAACUCUUGGAUUGUAUGUCUACAAUAGACUCUAAAAAUGCUGAAAAACAUGGAAGAUUGACAUAGUUUCAAAGUAAUAGUGAUUAAACACAGGUAUACAAACUAUACAAUUUAAAAUCCUGAAAUUUUUUCCUUUCAACAAACAUCUAUUGCGAAUGUUGGCCUUACGUUUAUGGUAAGCUACUGGAAUUGCCAAUAUGGA
Molecule: long non-coding RNA, 3381 nt
Organism: Macrobrachium nipponense
Lineage: Eukaryota; Metazoa; Arthropoda; Malacostraca; Decapoda; Palaemonidae
Exons: 6
Source: RefSeq, a predicted model, not a curated record